GCAACUCGAGUGCAUGAAGCUGGAAUCGCUAGUAAUCGCGGAUCAGAAUGCCGCGGUGAAUACGUUCCCGGGUCUUGUACACACCGCCCGUCACACCAUGGGAGUCGAUAACGCCCGAAGUCAGUGACCCAACCUUAUAGGAGGGAGCUGCCGAAGGCGGGAUUGAUAACUGGGGUGAAGUCGUAACAAGGUACC
This 195-nucleotide ribosomal RNA is filed under the name uncultured bacterium. RNAcentral's name for it is "partial 16S ribosomal RNA". It matches the Rfam family "Bacterial small subunit ribosomal RNA", at positions 1307 to 1500 of the family's 1533-position model. The record is from RNAcentral.